UGGGGCAAACGCUUCCUCUGCCCCGAUAUGUUAUGUUUCAAUCAAGCAAUCGGCUAAAGUGCAGUGAGGAACGAAGGCUCGAGAUAACUUAGGCUGCGCCACUGCAGUAUCCGCGCUUCGAGUUUACAGCUGGCUGGGAGCCGGGGGAGAAGGAGGUGAGCGCGAGCGAGCCAACGAAGGAACGCUGGCGGAGUAUUUAACAGUGCCGACUUCACAAUUGGUGGAUUCAGCUCGGCAGAUCAACGUGCCUUUACCUUACGAGCAUCAGUUGUGUCGGCACACUUUACACAUAUGUGUAUAUGUAUACUAAAAAGAUCACAACCACGCUCGCUUGGACGCACUCGGAUUUAAUUAAGCGGCAGUUUCACUAGAGCACGUUAUACGCCGUGAAUCCGCAGCAGCGCAAUGCGCGAGGGUCUGAAUGAGGCUAUACACGCAGGAGGAAGGAAAACCUAAUAAAAUUCGAUUCGGUCCUUUCGCAAGAGGGUUAUUCAGUUACUAAGCAGUUUUAUCAUGGCUAAAAGACGGUUCAUCAGAGCGACUAGGAGUAGGCAGUACCGAGUUCAUGGGAGAUUCAAUACAUCUGACGCAGUUGCAUCAUAGGCAUGUAAGAGAAUACUGCUAUUUAAGCGUAUCUCGCUCGAAAACACCGGGCGAAACGAUAAAUAUGCAUCAGCUCUAUUCGCUCUGCGUACAAUUUACUAUCAGCGCCACUUUUGGCGGCAUAACUGAGAACUGUUGGUUUGCUAAAAUAUAUUGGCUUAUAAGGAGAGUUAUACAAAAAAAUUUGGUGAAAAAUUGGUAUUGCUUUAAACCAGGGCAAACUUUUUUGAAAGAUAAAUAUCA
Nasonia vitripennis (jewel wasp) is the source of this 846-nucleotide long non-coding RNA. RefSeq lists it as uncharacterized. The record is from RefSeq and is a predicted model, not a curated record. The transcript is spliced from 3 exons. Lineage: Eukaryota; Metazoa; Arthropoda; Insecta; Hymenoptera; Pteromalidae.